This 118-nucleotide ribosomal RNA is filed under the name Seriola dumerili (greater amberjack). The record is from RNAcentral. Lineage: Eukaryota; Metazoa; Chordata; Actinopteri; Carangiformes; Carangidae.
GCUUACGGCCAUACCACUCUGAGCACGCCCGAUCUCGUCCGUCUCGGAAGCCAAGCAGGGUCGGGCCUGGUUAGUACUUGGACGGGAGACCGCCUGGGAAUACCAGGUGCUGUAAGCU